CCGGCAGAGAAGGGAGAGGACCGCAGCCAGCCCUUGGAAGUUGGAAGACAAGGCUAAGUUUUCCACUCUCCACUCAAGGCCUCGCCUUCUUGGCUCCAGAUCCUACUCCAACCAGCCCUUCCCCACACCUGCGCUGCCUCAUACUGACUUCUGGGGUCUGGAGAAAGGACACAGUCACCAGUGUGAAGCCCGGGCCUGGUUUCCCCGGGGAGAACAGUCAGCCCAUCUCCCUGCCCAACCUCACCACCUGAGGACCUGUCCAGGCCCUUUGUCUCCGCCUCACACCCCAGCCCUUGGCUGGCUCGGCCUGGCAGUGACCACGGCCCCGGGCUGUCUUCUCUCCACCUUCCCAGGGCCUGGAUGGCCUUUGAGUAAACAGAUAGCCCAGCGAGGUAUGUGAUCAAUUAGCUUUGCUGAAAAUACAAUCAUUUUGUUAUUCCAAGCUGAUGAGAAGGCCUGCUCUCCCAGCCUCCACAUGCCAAUCAGCCCGUGUCACCGAUAUAAUUUUCCACAUAAACACAACCUUUGUGCAACAUCUACUCUUGUAAAUAGAUGUAAUUCCCAAACCAAAUAACGCACUUGGAGGGGAAAUGGAUAUUAUGCAUGCAAAAAGAAAAGCCGGCGAUUUUUACACUUUCCAGGCAACAAAAGAUUACCCCUAAUUGCGAACGGGGGAGGGGCCGGCGGCGGGGCAGGGAGGUGGCCUGCUGCUGGGAAGCCAGGGAGGCCAGCUUUCAGGCAGAUUUUUUUCUCUCUCUGCACAUGUGUGAGCACAGACCACCAGGAACUGCUUAACCGGGGACUUGCCCUGUUUAGGCAACUGGGGAGAACGUGGUUGUUGUUGUUGAUAUCUUAAAGGAAAUGGAGAGUUACUUAAUUAUAAGGUUUGGUCUCUCUUGCCAGGAGAGACCCCCCCUCCAAACCCUAAACUAUACACAUCCUGUUGCAGAACGUCCCC
Molecule: long non-coding RNA, 958 nt
Filed under: Cercocebus atys (sooty mangabey)
Lineage: Eukaryota; Metazoa; Chordata; Mammalia; Primates; Cercopithecidae
Description: lncRNA (ENSCATG00000045509.1)
Source: RNAcentral